GGAUAAGUGACUGAGAGGUUUAAAGUGAUAGUUUUGAAAACUAUUGUAUUGUAAAAUACCGUGGGUUCGAAUCCCACCUUAUCCU
RNAcentral lists this transfer RNA (85 nucleotides) under Halamphora coffeiformis. Its description in RNAcentral is "Halamphora coffeaeformis tRNA-Ser". It matches the Rfam family "tRNA". From Rfam's summary of the family: Transfer RNA (tRNA) molecules are approximately 80 nucleotides in length. Their secondary structure includes four short double-helical elements and three loops (D, anti-codon, and T loops). Lineage: Eukaryota; Bacillariophyta; Bacillariophyceae; Naviculales; Amphipleuraceae. The record is from RNAcentral.